GUCCACGCUGUAAACGAUGAUCACUCGCUGUAUGCGAUACACAGUAUGCGGCCAAGCGAAAGCAUUAAGUGAUCCACCUGGGAGUACGAUCGCAAGGUUGAAACUCAAAGGAAUUGACGGGGGCCCGCACAAGCGGAGGAACAUGUGGUUUAAUUCGAUGAUACGCGAGGAACCUUACCUGGGCUUAAAUGUAGAACGACAGAUUGUGAAAGCAGUCCUUCUUCGGACGUUUUACAAGGUGCUGCAUGGUUGUCGU
RNAcentral lists this ribosomal RNA (256 nucleotides) under uncultured bacterium. RNAcentral describes it as "partial 16S ribosomal RNA". It matches the Rfam family "Bacterial small subunit ribosomal RNA", at positions 793 to 1055 of the family's 1533-position model. The record is from RNAcentral.